This 487-nucleotide ribosomal RNA is filed under the name uncultured bacterium. RNAcentral describes it as "bacterial SSU rRNA". It matches the Rfam family "Bacterial small subunit ribosomal RNA", at positions 30 to 507 of the family's 1533-position model. The record is from RNAcentral.
AUUGAACGCUGGCGGCAUGCCUAACACAUGCAAGUCGAACGGCAGCACGGGAGCUUGCUCCUGGUGGCGAGUGGCGGACGGGUGAGUAAUGCAUAGGAAUCUGCCCAGUAGCGGGGGACAACUUGGGGAAACUCAAGCUAAUACCGCAUGCGCCCUACGGGGGAAAGCGGGGGACCUUCGGGCCUCGCACUAUUGGAUGAGCCUAUGUCAGAUUAGCUUGUUGGUGGGGUAACGGCCUACCAAGGCGACGAUCUGUAGCGGGUCUGAGAGGACGAUCAGCCACACUGGGACUGAGACACGGCCCAGACUCCUACGGGAGGCAGCAGUGGGGAAUAUUGCACAAUGGGCGAAAGCCUGAUGCAGCAAUGCCGCGUGUGUGAAGAAGGCCUGCAGGUUGUAAAGCACUUUCAGUAGGGAGGAAACAGUAGCCGGUUAAUAUCCGGUUGCCUUGACGUUACCUACAGAAGAAGCACCGGCUAACUCUGUG